RNAcentral lists this ribosomal RNA (417 nucleotides) under Triticum aestivum (bread wheat). Its description in RNAcentral is "partial small subunit ribosomal RNA". Lineage: Eukaryota; Viridiplantae; Streptophyta; Magnoliopsida; Poales; Poaceae. The record is from RNAcentral.
AUGUCAUCCCAGGAUUCAGAAGGAGAAAGCUAUGUGGCUGAUUACCUUGCAGAUCCCAAGGUCUAUGGGGAUGUAGAGCAUUGUGAUUGGACUACGGAAGAAGAAGAGGACUAUGAACCUAAGGGAAAGGAGGAGACGAGCUCAGAUGAAGAUGAAGUCCCAUUACCUCAACCCCGGGACAUGCAUGUGGAGUUCAAAAAGUCAAGCCUUUCGGAUAGAGCAAAGAAACCUAAGAUCGAGUUUAUCCCUUUUCGCCUCUUGCAGGAAAACAAGCAAGAAUUAUGCAAAAGGAUACUAAGCCUGGAGCAGGAAAUCGAUGACCCGAGGGAUCAAAAUUCUGUCCUCAAGCGCAAAUUAAGGAAGAAGCCUAUGCCAUCAACAAAACCAUCAUCUUCUUCAUCAACAAAGAAGAACUGA